Molecule: ribosomal RNA, 387 nt
Filed under: uncultured bacterium
Lineage: Bacteria
Description: bacterial SSU rRNA
Rfam family: Bacterial small subunit ribosomal RNA
Source: RNAcentral
UCAGGCCUAACACAUGCAAGUCGAGCGGCAGCGGGAAAGUAGCUUGCUACUUUUGCCGGCGAGCGGCGGACGGGUGAGUAAUGCCUGGGAAAUUGCCCAGUCGAGGGGGAUAACAGUUGGAAACGACUGCUAAUACCGCAUACGCCCUACGGGGGAAAGCAGGGGACCUUCGGGCCUUGCGCGAUUGGAUAUGCCCAGGUGGGAUUAGCUAGUUGGUGAGGUAAUGGCUCACCAAGGCGACGAUCCCUAGCUGGUCUGAGAGGAUGAUCAGCCACACUGGAACUGAGACACGGUCCAGACUCCUACGGGAGGCAGCAGUGGGGAAUAUUGCACAAUGGGGGAAACCCUGAUGCAGCCAGGCCGCGUGUGUGAAGAAGGCCUUCGGGU